UGCAAGUAGAACGCUGAAGACUUUAGCUUGCUAAAGUUGGAAGAGUUGCGAACGGGUGAGUAACGCGUAGGUAACCUGCCUACUAGCGGGGGAUAACUAUUGGAAACGAUAGCUAAUACCGCAUAACAGCAUUUAACCCAUGUUAGAUGCUUGAAAGGAGCAAUUGCUUCACUAGUAGAUGGACCUGCGUUGUAUUAGCUAGUUGGUGAGGUAACGGCUCACCAAGGCGACGAUACAUAGCCGACCUGAGAGGGUGAUCGGCCACACUGGGACUGAGACACGGCCCAGACUCCUACGGGAGGCAGCAGUAGGGAAUCUUCGGCAAUGGGGGCAACCCUGACCGAGCAACGCCGCGUGAGUGAAGAAGGUUUUCGGAUCGUAAAGCUCUGUUGUAAGAGAAGAACGUGUGUGAGAGUGGAAAGUUCACACAGUGACGGUAACUUACCAGAAAGGGACGGCUAACUACGUGCCAGCAGCCGCGGUAAUACGUAGGUCCCGAGCGUUGUCCGGAUUUAUUGGGCGUAAAGCGAGCGCAGGCGGUUUAAUAAGUCUGAAGUUAAAGGCAGUGGCUUAACCAUUGUUCGCUUUGGAAACUGUUAGACUUGAGUGCAGAAGGGGAGAGUGGAAUUCCAUGUGUAGCGGUGAAAUGCGUAGAUAUAUGGAGGAACACCGGUGGCGAAAGCGGCUCUCUGGUCUGUAACUGACGCUGAGGCUCGAAAGCGUGGGGAGCAAACAGGAUUAGAUACCCUGGUAGUCCACGCCGUAAACGAUGAGUGCUAGGUGUUAGGCCCUUUCCGGGGCUUAGUGCCGCAGCUAACGCAUUAAGCACUCCGCCUGGGGAGUACGACCGCAAGGUUGAAACUCAAAGGAAUUGACGGGGGCCCGCACAAGCGGUGGAGCAUGUGGGUUUAAUUCGAAGCAACGCGAAGAACCUUACCAGGUCUUGACAUCCCGAUGCUAUUCCUAGAGAU
RNAcentral lists this ribosomal RNA (971 nucleotides) under Streptococcus sp. Its description in RNAcentral is "bacterial SSU rRNA". It matches the Rfam family "Bacterial small subunit ribosomal RNA", at positions 56 to 1007 of the family's 1533-position model. The record is from RNAcentral. Lineage: Bacteria; Bacillati; Bacillota; Bacilli; Lactobacillales; Streptococcaceae.